UAUAGAAGAAAAUCCAGCUUUUUUGAACAAAGAUACUUUGUUGCUUAUUUCUUAAGAGUUGGAGUUGAACUGGUUUCUUAAUUCUAAUUUAUACUAGUCAUCUUAGUGAUGACUUAUGUGAAACCCUAAGGUAGAAUUUUUAAGCGGUUUACCAGAUUUGGUACCAUUGAAUGUAUUUUUGCUUGCUUGUCUGUUUUUUUCCUCCCCUUCAAAACUGAGUUAAUAUUUUGCUAAUUUGCUAAGAUUAAGUCAUUUUUCUUUUUAAAGCAGUGCUAUUUUGCUUUUCUUAAAUUGAUUCCAUUUUACUAGAAAUCUUUCUUUUCAAGUGGAGAAAGGCUUUCAGGAGAUACUGAUUCUCGUCUUAAGCUCUCGUGGCAACUUGCAGGUAAUCUUGAGCAGACUGGAGUUUCACUUGCUCUAGUUACCUACCCUAUUUGUAAAAGAGUAGAUUGCAUUUUUUUUUCCUGAUCUGAAAAAUCAGUGGUUUUGCUCUAUAAAUCUUGAAAAUGUAAAAUAGAAAUCACUUUGUAGGCAUUGUGGGGUAGAUUGCUAGAAAAAUUUUACUAAUUCUGACUGACUUUUUGUGAAAUAAUGAUCAUUAAGAAAUAGUCUGAAAAGUCUGACUUGAUAGAGACUAUGUGAAGCUCUUUCCUCCUGGUAAUGAUGGUAAAGCAACCGAAUAUGUGGAGAGAGCCUAAAUGUUGGAUCUGACAAAUUUUUUUUUACAGAAAUUUGUGGAAUAUAAACCAUCUUAACUUUGUGUUCUUUUUGGAAAUCGUCAGAGAGGCCAUGCUUUAUUUUAGUGGUCUAUUUUAAAGAUGCUUGUGCUCUGAACAGAAUUUAAUAAAGACUGUUUUGCAUUCCUAGGUUAGUUUUAGAGGAGAUAAAUUCUAUCAAUGUUGGUUUUUAAGUCCACUUUGAGAUUCUUUGUAAGGUAAGCCACGAGUCUUUGUUUUGUUAGUUAAUCUGGAAACUCCUUUCACAUGGUAACUGCUAUCCUCUUUCCCAAAUUUUAUGGCUAUUGUGCUGUGGAAUUACAGCAAAUAAAACUAUAUCCUGUACAACUUACUUUGAACAAAUAAUUCCAGAUAAGUUAAUUAGUUUCAUUCUUGCUGUUCCUUUUUUAAAUAUGAAUUGCAGGAUUUAGAGAAAAAUAAACUUGAAUAUUAAGCUAGUUGGCACUCAGCAGAUAAUACUGACCAUACUCAUUUAAAAUACAAGUCUUCUUUAGUUUUUUACUGCAGUCUCACUUGAGCUUGAACACAGACAAGGGAAAAAGGGUGAUGAGAUGUGAGGAGAUUAUGAUGUUAAGGAACUUUAAAGGACAACAUAGUUGGUGCAUCUUUUGUUUAGGUUGAAAUUAAAUUUAGUGAGAUUUACAGUUUAAACCCUAAAUUACCUGUGGCCGUGUGGAUGAUGGAGCUUGUUACAAAGGGAGACCGGAAAGGAACCGGAAGAGUUCGGAUUCCGGCUGGCCUGAUCUGGGCUCACGGUAGCAUGAACUGUAUGAUCGCUUUCAGAGAGAACAGGCUAUAGCAUUAAAAACAUAAGAAAUAACUCUUUUGACUCUGAUUUAGUUUGGGAUAGAAAAAUACUGAGUUCUAGGCAACUUGGUGAAAGAUGCCUUCUCUGAUAACUGGUCAUAUGUGUAGUGAUAGUCACUUUUGAAUACUGUGAAACAGACACAUCAAUGAAACUAGUGAUAAGAUUAUUUACACUGAUAUGUUACACAAUUUUUAAGGAUUUUUCUUCUUUAGGAAAUAACUUUCCUAUUAGAUUUAUGAGUAUUAAAUUAUACUAAAUAAUUUUUUAAAGAAAAUUUCUUGUUGAAACUUUUUCACUAGCAAAUAUGGCUUGACUUAAAAAGAAAUGUCAAACUAUAUUU
Perognathus longimembris pacificus (Pacific pocket mouse) is the source of this 1885-nucleotide long non-coding RNA. RefSeq lists it as uncharacterized. The transcript is spliced from 2 exons. The record is from RefSeq and is a predicted model, not a curated record. Lineage: Eukaryota; Metazoa; Chordata; Mammalia; Rodentia; Heteromyidae.